Cygnus olor (mute swan) is the source of this 3255-nucleotide RNA transcript. It is a transcript of the gene named centromere protein C, with no coding region annotated. The transcript is spliced from 20 exons. NCBI's taxonomy places the organism in Eukaryota, Metazoa, Chordata, Aves, Anseriformes, Anatidae. The record is from RefSeq and is a predicted model, not a curated record.
GCGGCGGCGGCGGCCGGCGGCGGGGCUCGGGGGCCGGCGUUUUCGUCGUGGCGGCGCCGCGGGAUGGCGGAGGGCUUGGAUCAUUUCAAAAAAGACUACAGAGCAAGAUUCUGCCAUGGAGGAGGAAAGAAGAUUGAUAUACAACCAGGUCAAAAUGUAUUGAAAUUCAUUCAGGAUUGUUUUGAAAGCUGUGAUAGUGAACUUACAAUAAGCUCUCCAUGCACAGCCUGUUGCUCAACUCCUGUUGGCAGAAACCAAACGAGGACUUCAAUACAGAGCCAAAGGUCAAAUGCAGGGUUAACAAACUCGGUGAAGAGAACCUGUAUUUCUUCAGCGUCCGUACCCGCAUCACCACCAGAUACUGUCAGUAGCCAAGGAGGGCUGCACAAAUCCUACCUGACGCCUGCAAUACACGGUUAUGCAGCUGAUUCUAAGAAAACAGAGAGCCCUUUGUCUAAAGGAGAGGCUCAUGACACGUUAAAAGAUGCCGAAGCACUAUGCAAAAGCCCUGCUGAGUUCGUGGAUCCUGAGGAUGAUAACGGGGCUUUGGGAUCACCUCUCCUUGUGGAGGAAGCAAAAAGUUCUCCUGUACAUAUAUUACAUUUUGAUGACCAAAAUACUCCUGCUGUGGUGAAGAGCCGUGCAGAAGUUGUCGGUUUGGAAGGACCUCAAACUGGGAGAGAUGAGCAGACUCUCACACAGAGAGCAGAACGUACCACUGUGUCAUCUGUACGGAAGCGGAAGUCGUCUUUCUCUUCAGCUUUCUUAGCAGCUGUAACAACAGGGACAGUUGGGAAAAGGUAUACAGCCUCAAUAUCACCACCAUCACCUCCUGUUGUAAAAGAUGAGGACGUAGAACUAGAGAGUGAAUGUGAGUUUUUAAUCGAUGAAUCAGAUGGUCUGUCUUCUAAUUCUUGGUUUUCAAUACCCCAGAAGAAUAACAAGUCCAAAAAAGAUGGCUCUGCAACCCCUGUUACGAAAUCUCAGUCCUCUGAAAAGGAAAAGACAGAAGGUAAGAAAGGCAAGACUGGGAAGGUACAGGCUGAAGCAUUUACUGAACAGAAAAUGCACAAUUUGGAUGUCAGAGUGCAACAUGACUUCAAAGGAAUGUCACAGUCAGAUCCAGUCUCCUCUAAAGGUGAAGGAAAUGGACUUAAAUCUCAAAAGCAAAGCAGUACACAUGUGGGAAAAUCUAAAAAGGAUGCACUUCAUCAAGACUCUCCAAGACGCAGAAAGAUGUCCUGCGGACCAGAAGCUGAGCAACUGAUGUUGUCACUGUGUGGAUCGGACACAGAAGGAUAUGAUGAAGAACAUAAAAAAAGGGUGAUGCCAAAUGAGGAUUCACCAAUGCCCUCAGCUGAGCAUCAUGAAGAGCAGAUGCCAUCUCCAAAAGAGAAUCUCAAGUCUUCCAAGUAUCUGCAGUCUGCUUCAAAAGCUUUUCUGCAUUCAAUUCACAAGAAACACACUGCUAAGCAGAAACUUCAAGAAUCAAAAGAUAAGCUGUCUAAGAAACGGGCAGAAAGUCAAAGGAAAAAGCUUAAAAAAUCUGCAAAGAAAAGUAGUAAUAAAAAGCCUCAGUUAAAAAGAGGGGAGAGCUCUGAUAGUGAAUCCAGUGAAGAAGGGCUUGAAAGAGAACCAGUCGAAUUGAAUGAAAUGUUUACCUCACCUCUGCGUCAGAAAUUAGAGAAUUCUGUACUUCAGAAGCUGGCUUUGUCUGAAAAACCUAAGAAUGUAUUGCAUGCAUUGGAAUCGCUCUGUGGUGUUUAUAACAAAACUCCUGUAAAAGCUGCAGAGCUACUGCAGCGUCUCACAGACAGCAUACAGAAUUCUGAAAAGAAAAAUUCUGAAAAGAAAAGAUCGUUGGUUAAGUCUUCAGGAAAGACACUCAAAAAGAUUAAUCACAGAACCCAUAAAGGUGUUUCCUCAAACCCUGAGGACACUGAGCCUCAAAAUACAACGGAUUCUGACAGCUCUUCUGCACACGAGGUGGCAAGAAAAAAACACAAGCAAUCAGAUGCGAAAAUAAAAAGUAACAAAAGAAAACAUAGUGCACAACAUAGACUACAAGAUUCCUCUGCAGCUGUGAAAGUUAUGAGUUGUGAAAGUGGGCCUGUUCUAGAACAUUGUGAUGAAUUUACUUCCAGAAGUAAGUGUUGUGAACAGGAUAAUGAAUCUUCAGAUGAUUCUGAAGACUUGCAUUAUCAAGUAAGAAAUUUGUCAGACAAGAUAAGCAGACGUAAAAUAGUAAUGCCUUCCAACACACCUAAUGUUCGUCGGACAAAAAGGAUACGACUAAAACCUCUGGAAUAUUGGCGAGGCGAGCGUGUAAACUAUACGAUGAGACCUUCAGGAGGGCUGACGAUUAGUGGAAUAGUGUGUCCAGAAACAGAACCUCGCAGGAAGAAUAGACAGAAGAAGAUUCGUCAUAAGGAGAAAAGAAAUUAUACAAAAAAUGAGGUAGCUAAAAAAUUGAAUUGCACCCUGGCUGAUACUUCUAAGCCAACCAUUGUAGUGGACCCAGUAACAAAUCAGGAAGUUCUUCAAGAGUGUAUUAACACUGGAAACAGUCACUUGAGUUUCUUCAAAGAUGAAUCGGUAGAAAUAUAUAAAAAUCUGAAUACAUCUACUUUUUCCACUGGUAAAUUAAUCUUGAAGCCACUUAAAGAAAAAGGACAGCAAUUUGUCUACAUGGAUACAAUAGCUUUCCAUGUUAUCCAUGGCAAAAUUGUUGUUACUUUGCAUAAGACAUCAUAUUGUCUGACUUCGGGGGCCUUCUUCUAUAUUCCAGCAGGAAAUCAAUAUAACAUCCGUAAUCUUCUGAACGAAGAAAGUGUUCUCCUUUUCACGCAGUUCAAAAACGACAGCAUCACUAGCUAACACGAGAAUGGAUCAAGAUAUCUGAUACGUGGUGCCACCGCGUGGGUGUCUUCUGGAAUCGAUAUGCUGUAAAGAGGGAGAGGAGUGAUGAGAGAGGUGUAAACGUAAUGAAGAGCCGUGCUACUUGGCAGACCAAUUGUAACAAGCACGUUGUUGGAGCCCGAGCCCUCUUCCCCAUAAGUUCACCUGCAAGUUGAUCAUCUAAUGCGAGCGAGUUCUGAAGAACACUGUUAACUACCAUCCAACUGGAAAUAUACCUGUAUUGGAAGCACAUAGUUUCAUUGAUCUUAAGAGAUCUUCCUCCAGUGUAAAUUGUAAAUAGAUGGCUACAAAUUACUUUUCUGUUUUGUAUCAAUAAAUGUUAAAUAAUACAAAUCA